This 475-nucleotide ribosomal RNA is filed under the name uncultured bacterium. Its description in RNAcentral is "SSU rRNA". It matches the Rfam family "Bacterial small subunit ribosomal RNA", at positions 26 to 521 of the family's 1533-position model. The record is from RNAcentral.
AGAACGAACGCUGGCGGCAUGCCUAACACAUGCAAGUCGAACGCUUGCCGAGGCUUCGGUUUCGGCAGGAGUGGCGCACGGGUGAGUAGCGCGUGGGAACCUGCCUUGGAGUGGGGGACAACCGAGGGAAACUUCGGCUAAUACCGCAUACGCCGGUUGUCUUGUAAGAGAUGGCCGGGAAAGAUUUAUCGCUCCGAGAGGGGCCCGCGUCGGAUUAGGUAGUUGGCGGGGUAACGGCCCACCAAGCCUGUGAUCCGUAGCUGGUCUGAGAGGAUGAUCAGCCACACUGGGACUGAGACACGGCCCAGACUCCUACGGGAGGCAGCAGUGGGGAAUAUUGGACAAUGGGCGCAAGCCUGAUCCAGCAAUGCCGCGUGAGUGAUGAAGGCCUUCGGGUUGUAAAGCUCUUUCGCCCGCGACGAUGAUGACGGUAGCGGGAGAGAAGCCCGGCUAACUUCGCGCCAGCAGCCGCGGU